Molecule: long non-coding RNA, 795 nt
Filed under: Cricetulus griseus (Chinese hamster)
Lineage: Eukaryota; Metazoa; Chordata; Mammalia; Rodentia; Cricetidae
Description: lncRNA (ENSCGRG00000026441.1)
Source: RNAcentral
AUGAUUUUGAUGAAGAGUAUAUGGGGGGGCGUGGUGUAUGUGUUACUGGGAGCACUUCAGAUCUUUGGGACGGUGGGAGGACCUGAGAGGGAGGAACAAAAGUGGUUUUGUUUGAGGAUGCCUAGUGGACCCGGCAUCUGCCGAAGCCCUCACCCGGGAACACAGGGAGCUGUUUGCUUGUUUACAACAAAGACCGCAUGCCCUGCUGCGCCUGCUGCUAACCAAGAGGAACAGCGGCUUCUUAAAUCCUUGCCUACGAUGGUCCAGCAAGCCCAGACGUCCUGUCGCCUUCUCACCUCCUCUGCUGAGAGCUACAGAUCUUCCGAUGACAGACAAGGAGGGGAUGUGCGAAUGGUGUGAUUGUGUCUUCAGUUUAUUGUGUUUCCAGGAAUUGUGGACCCCCAGUUUCUAUGAGAUGAGAAUCUGGCAAUUAGUGAGUUAAUAAAAAUCCUUCUCUUUAGGGUCCUGCCUGCGUUUGUUCCCAUUUCCUCUGGGGGACACAGACAGAGACAGAGAGAGAGAGGAGGUAUGAGAGCAGAAGAGCCUCUCAAAGACUGAGAGAGAUCGCUGCUGUAACUUAGUCAUCACCACUGACUUUGUUGCCUCAGGCAAUCAAAGCUGCUACUGCCCAGCCCACAACCUGACCUGUGGCCACCUUCACAACAGUUACAACCGUAGCACUCUCCAGGUACCAGCAAGCACACCCACUGUGUGCUUCUGCAAGCUGCCCUGGGCCUCCUCUGGUGGGGGGUGGUGCCUUAGGUCAUGGUAAGCUGAAAGCAACUUGAAGCUCGU